This 497-nucleotide ribosomal RNA is filed under the name uncultured bacterium. Its description in RNAcentral is "partial 16S ribosomal RNA". It matches the Rfam family "Bacterial small subunit ribosomal RNA", at positions 28 to 507 of the family's 1533-position model. The record is from RNAcentral.
GAUGAACGCUGGCGGCGUGCCUAAUACAUGCAAGUCGAGCGAACAGACGAGGAGCUUGCUCCUCUGACGUUAGCGGCGGACGGGUGAGUAACACGUGGGUAACCUACCUAUAAGACUGGGAUAACUUCGGGAAACCGGAGCUAAUACCGGAUAAUAUAUUGAACCGCAUGGUUCAAUAGUGAAAGACGGUUUUGCUGUCACUUAUAGAUGGAUCCGCGCCGCAUUAGCUAGCUGGUAAGGUAACGGCUUACCAAGGCAACGAUGCGUAGCCGACCUGAGAGGGUGAUCGGCCACACUGGAACUGAGACACGGUCCAGACUCCUACGGGAGGCAGCAGUAGGGAAUCUUCCGCAAUGGGCGAAAGCCUGACGGAGCAACGCCGCGUGAGUGAUGAAGGUCUUCGGAUCGUAAAACUCUGUUAUUAGGGAAGAACAAAUGUGUAAGUAACUAUGCACGUCUUGACGGUACCUAAUCAGAAAGCCACGGCUAACUACGUG